GCUCUGUCUGUCUCUUCAGAUUUUAUUUUUAAGGAAUCUGUACACCCAACGUGGGGCUCGAACUUACAAUCCUGAGGUCAAGAGCUGUCUGCUCUGCUGACUGAGCUAGCCGGAGGCUCCCCGCGCCAAUUGUUUUUAAUCCCGGCUCUGACCUGUGUCUGAAAUCUCCAAAUGCCCCCUUAACAUCCCCCAGUGGAUCUGAGGAACACCCCGUGUAACACGGCCCAAACAGGCGCCUCCCACUGCUGCCCUACCACUUUCUAGUGUUUUCGAGCCUACUCAACAGCCUCUCCAUCUGUUUUGUAAUUUCAGUCCCAAAUAUCAGAAUUACCUUAGAUUCUCACCUUUCCCUUAUCUUCCACAGCGAUCUACCAACGACUUUAUCAACUCGAUUUGUAAGACAUGUUCCCAACCUGUCCACUGCUCUCUCACCCCCAGUGCAGCCCUUCAUUCUCUCACCUGGACCGUAAAUCUUCUCCUGAUUGACCUGAUUCUACUUUGGCUUCACUAUAAUCCAUUCUGACUUCGGCCGCGUGCCCUUGUUAAAGGAUCUUGUCACCCCUCUGCUUAAACAGAGGCCCGGAACUAAAUGUGAAACCGAGGUGGACCCACGGUUUGAACUUCCCCAGAGGUGAUGCACGGAGGGCGAAUGAACACAUGAAAAGUGCUCAGCACCACCGGUCCCUGGGAAGCUCCACCUAAAACCUAGGGAGAUCUUGUUCCUCUGCCCCAAACCAGCAAGCUCCCAUCACGGCUCACGGGCACUAACCGGUGCUAACCGGUCAUGGUCCAUUCUCAUAGCAGCUGCAUGACCUUGUUGCAUGGCCCGGUCACUUCCCUGGCUGAAGCCCUUCCCUCAAGCCCUAACGUAAGGGUGCGGGGUUCCGUGGAGAAAGGGCGGCCCUUCAACAGCUGCAGCCGGGACACGGGACAAUCCGAACAAAGGGAUUCGGUCACACCUUGCCCCAUACACAGAACUACCUCACAGUGGGGCUUGGCCCUAAAUGUGAACCCACAAUCACAAACUCCUGAAGGAAAACAUGGGAGGAAAUCUUG
Molecule: long non-coding RNA, 1056 nt
Organism: Leopardus geoffroyi (Geoffroy's cat)
Lineage: Eukaryota; Metazoa; Chordata; Mammalia; Carnivora; Felidae
Exons: 3
Source: RefSeq, a predicted model, not a curated record